Molecule: ribosomal RNA, 407 nt
Filed under: uncultured prokaryote
Also listed under: 1 other name
Description: bacterial SSU rRNA
Rfam family: Bacterial small subunit ribosomal RNA
Source: RNAcentral
UGGGGAAUAUUGGGCAAUGGGGGAAACCCUGACCCAGCAACGCCGCGUGAGGGAAGAAGGUUUUCGGAUUGUAAACCUCUGUCCUAAAGGACGAAAAAAAUGACGGUACUUUAGGAGGAAGCCCCGGCUAACUACGUGCCAGCAGCCGCGGUAAUACGUAGGGGGCGAGCGUUGUCCGGAAUUAUUGGGCGUAAAGGGUGCGUAGGCGGCCAAAUAAGUCAGAUGUGAAAUACCGGGGCUUAACUCCGGGGCUGCAUUUGAAACUAUAUGGCUGGAGUGCAGGAGAGGGAAGCGGAAUUCCUAGUGUAGCGGUGAAAUGCACAGAUAUUAGGAGGAACACCAGUGGCGAAGGCGGCUUUCUGGACUGUAACUGACGCUGAGGCACGAAAGCGUGGGGAGCAAACAGG